This 253-nucleotide ribosomal RNA is filed under the name uncultured bacterium. Its description in RNAcentral is "partial 16S ribosomal RNA". It matches the Rfam family "Bacterial small subunit ribosomal RNA", at positions 524 to 776 of the family's 1533-position model. The record is from RNAcentral.
UACGAAGGGGGCUAGCGUUGCUCGGAAUUACUGGGCGUAAAGCGCACGUAGGCGGUCUUUUAAGUCGGGGGUGAAAUCCUGGAGCUCAACUCCAGAACUGCCUUCGAUACUGGAAGACUUGAGUCCGGGAGAGGUGAGUGGAACUGCGAGUGUAGAGGUGAAAUUCGUAGAUAUUCGCAAGAACACCAGUGGCGAAGGCGGCUCACUGGCCCGGUAUUGACGCUGAGGUGCGAAAGCGUGGGGAGCAAACAGG